UACGUAGGUGGCGAGCGUUGUCCGGAUUUACUGGGCGUAAAGAGCGCGCAGGCGGUCGUUCAAGUCGCGUGUGAAAGCCCCCGGCUCAACUGGGGAGGGUCACGCGAUACUGAUCGACUCGAAGGCAGGAGAGGAUAGUGGAAUUCCCGGUGUAGUGGUGAAAUGCGUAGAUAUCGGGAGGAACACCAGUGGCGAAGGCGACUACCUGGCCUGUUCUUGACGCUGAGGCGCGAAAGCUAGGGGAGCAAACGGG
Molecule: ribosomal RNA, 253 nt
Filed under: uncultured bacterium
Lineage: Bacteria
Description: partial 16S ribosomal RNA
Rfam family: Bacterial small subunit ribosomal RNA
Source: RNAcentral